UACGGAGGGUGCAAGCGUUAUCCGGAUUCACUGGGUUUAAGGGGUGCGUAGGUGGCUUUGUAAGUCAGUGGUGAAAUCUUAGAGCUUAACUCUAAAACUGCCAUUGAUACUGCUUAGCUUAAAUCAAGUUGAGGUGGAUGGAAUAUUACAUGUAGCGGUGAAAUGCUUAGAUAUGUAAUAGAACACCGAUUGCGAAGGCAGUUCACUAAGCUUGUAUUGACACUGAGGCACGAAAGCGUGGGGAUCAAACAGG
This 253-nucleotide ribosomal RNA is filed under the name uncultured bacterium. RNAcentral describes it as "partial 16S ribosomal RNA". It matches the Rfam family "Bacterial small subunit ribosomal RNA", at positions 524 to 776 of the family's 1533-position model. The record is from RNAcentral.